This 490-nucleotide ribosomal RNA is filed under the name uncultured bacterium. RNAcentral's name for it is "bacterial SSU rRNA". It matches the Rfam family "Bacterial small subunit ribosomal RNA", at positions 28 to 507 of the family's 1533-position model. The record is from RNAcentral.
GAUAAACGCUGGCGGCGCACAUAAGACAUGCAAGUCGAACGGACUUAACCAAAAGUUUACUUUUGGAGCGGUUAGUGGCGGACUGGUGAGUAACACGUAAGCAACCUGCCUAUCAGAGGGGGAACAACAGUUAGAAAUGACUGCUAAUACCGCAUAUGCCUAAGUACCACAUGGUACAAUAGGGAAAGAAGCAAUUCGCUGAUAGAUGGGCUUGCGUCUGAUUAGCUUGUUGGCGGGGUAACGGCCCACCAAGGCGACGAUCAGUAGGGGUUCUGAGAGGAAGGUCCCCCACAUUGGAACUGAGACACGGUCCAAACUCCUACGGGAGGCAGCAGUGAGGAAUAUUGGUCAAUGGGCGAGAGCCUGAACCAGCCAAGUAGCGUGCAGGAUGACGGCCCUAUGGGUUGUAAACUGCUUUUAUAAGGGAAUAAAGUGGGAGUCGUGACUCUUUUUGCAUGUACCUUAUGAAUAAGGACCGGCUAAUUCCGUG